Molecule: ribosomal RNA, 512 nt
Filed under: uncultured bacterium
Lineage: Bacteria
Description: partial 16S ribosomal RNA
Rfam family: Bacterial small subunit ribosomal RNA
Source: RNAcentral
GAUGAACGCUGGCGGCGUGCCUAAUACAUGCAAGUCGAACGAAACUUCUUUAUCACCGAGUGCUUGCACUCACCGAUAAAGAGUUGAGUGGCGAACGGGUGAGUAACACGUGGGCAACCUGCCCAAAAGAGGGGGAUAACACUUGGAAACAGGUGCUAAUACCGCAUAACCAUAGUUACCGCAUGGUAACUAUGUAAAAGGUGGCUAUACUACCGCUUUUGGAUGGGCCCGCGGCGCAUUAGCUAGUUGGUAGGGUAAAGGCUUACCAAGGCAAUGAUGCGUAGCCGAAUUGAGAGGUUGAUCGGCCACAUUGGGACUGAGACACGGCCCAAACUCCUACGGGAGGCAGCAGUAGGGAAUCUUCCACAAUGGGCGAAAGCCUGAUGGGGCAACGCCGCGUGGGUGAAGAAGGUCUUCGGAUCGUAAAACCCUGUUGUUAGAGAAGAAAGUGCGUGAGAGUAACUGUUCACGUUUCGACGGUAUCUAACCAGAAAGCCACGGCUAACUACGUG